UCUUUGAAUAGAAACUACAGGACUGCAAUAGUGUGCUGAUGAUGACUGAGAAUGAGCUUGUCUACACCUUUGCUCUUACCUACACUCCUGUGGCAUUUGCUGGCACUCCGAUUACCCGUGCUGAGGGUGCAACUUGUUGGUGUUCAAUGCCACUAUCAAAGGUUCUUUAAUGUGAGCAGUAAUGCUGA
Cyprinus carpio (common carp) is the source of this 188-nucleotide RNA transcript. RefSeq lists it as uncharacterized. NCBI's taxonomy places the organism in Eukaryota, Metazoa, Chordata, Actinopteri, Cypriniformes, Cyprinidae. The transcript is spliced from 3 exons. The record is from RefSeq and is a predicted model, not a curated record.